AUCGCUUCUCGGCCUUUUGGCUAAGAUCAAGUGUAGUAUCUGUUCUUAUCGGUUUAAUCUGGUUCAUUCAGAUUUAUUACUGAGGCAGGUGACUAUACCAUCU
Molecule: small nuclear RNA, 103 nt
Filed under: Pelusios castaneus (West African mud turtle)
Lineage: Eukaryota; Metazoa; Chordata; Testudines; Pelomedusidae
Description: U2 spliceosomal RNA (ENSPCEG00000016481.1)
Rfam family: U2 spliceosomal RNA
About the family: U2 is a small nuclear RNA (snRNA) component of the spliceosome (involved in pre-mRNA splicing). Complementary binding between U2 snRNA (in an area lying towards the 5' end but 3' to hairpin I) and the branchpoint sequence (BPS) of the intron results the bulging out of an unpaired adenosine, on the BPS, which initiates a nucleophilic attack at the intronic 5' splice site, thus starting the first of two transesterification reactions that mediate splicing.
Source: Rfam by way of RNAcentral